RNAcentral lists this long non-coding RNA (1209 nucleotides) under Sparus aurata (gilthead seabream). RNAcentral describes it as "lncRNA (ENSSAUG00010012357.1)". Lineage: Eukaryota; Metazoa; Chordata; Actinopteri; Spariformes; Sparidae. The record is from RNAcentral.
GGAUGAUAUUCAUUUCUGCUCGAGGUUUCUGUCUUAACAGCAGCUUUGUCCAGCAGCAGAGGAGUGGCUGGUGUCAGAACCACUAAAGGCCUGUUCCUCGUCUUCACUCUGCUGUGUCUGGUUUGCCUCUCAAGUUCACUGGUAAACAAGGACAAACUGGUAAAUAUGAUCUUGCUUUAAUCUCACAUUUACUUGCAAGUCCACAGUGUGAGUCAUCACAUACAAAUCUACUGUUGAAAUAUGUUUUUUUCUUCAGUCGUAUGUUCUCACAUGUCCUAAUCUAUGAUUGCGUCUUGAUUCUCAUUCUGGAUUUGCAGAAAAAGCUCAAGGAAAACAUUGAGAAAGAACAACGACAACUGAACAUGCAGAAGGCAUCAUUGGCCACCUCUUCACAGCUCAUGAAUUAUUAUGUGAACCUCAUGGACCCACUGAAGGGAAUAGUGAAGACAACCUCAGAAGACUCAUCUGAUGUCUUUCCACCACUGGAGGGACUAAUGGACUGCAUCAAGGACUUUGCGGAGAAAGCCAAGACUUUUGUAGAUGGGGAGAAUGAGGAGUUGGGUGAAAAGAUAGAGAAGAAUGAACAGACUCUGAGAAACAUUAGGAAAUUAAUCAAUUUAAUUGAGGAGAAAGAAGCUGAAUUGUAGCUCCCAUGUCAGUCAGCGCCUCUGUCUCUGAUGUUGCAUCUAUUGUACCCACUAAGUUUCUCUUUUUUAUCGUUCAGCUUCAUUUUACGGUUUCAUGAACUCAUGAAUUCCUUUUAUUGUUUGACAUAAGAUAGGAUGUUAAAGAGAGGGAUUCUCUAUUGAAACAGAUAGUGUGGAUAAUGUGUUGAUAUCUUCUUAAUGAAUACUUUAACAAUAAAGAAUUACAUUUUGGAAAGUGUAAAACAAUGUUUCUGAAAAAUGACACAAAAUAAAAUGAUUUAUUAACUGCUGUUUCCAGUUAGCUAAAAAUACUGAGGUAGAUUACAGAAGUAUGUCAUUGUUUUGUUUCCUUUUGCUGGUUUAAUUUCAGUUUCCUUACAUUCACCACAAUACAAACUAUAAUAUCCAGUCUACAUUCUUACAUCUGUGACUUGUAAGGUUAUUGUUUAGAUAUCAUAUAUACAUUCUAGGAAAAGCUGUUAAAAAUACAUUGUAUUGUAUAUCAAAUUCGGCCUGUGUGCAACCCAAAUAAAUUCCAUACAUAGGAAUGCAUACACAAUCC